AUUUGUUUAUUCAUUCUCUGUGGUACGAUCAAGCUGUCAGUGUUUCAGUGAUUUUAAAAAAACAAAAAAGACAAGAUGCUGUCAUUCAGAGCAACUUGCCUGUGACAUUUUUGCAGAAGAGAACUCAGCAGAGCUCUGUGACCAGAAACUCUGUGGAGAAACCGAGCCCUGAGGGACUGGAUGCUUACGGACAGGGCACUCCAGCACGCUGACCACAAAGUGGACGUAAGUGCAACAUCCAGCACCAUGGGCGAGAAUGGCCCUCACAAGGAGGACGUGUACUUCAAGGUAGAAAUGGACAAGCUGACGCAGGAUGAUGACAACAAGAUGACGGAUUUCGACAAGGAAGACUUGAUUCCGUCUUCGUCUUCAGGCCGGGUGUAUGACCGCACCACUGUGCUCAUUGAGCAGGACCCCAUCGGCCUGGAUGAGGAAGGAGAGGAGGACAGCCACUGUGAUGACAUGGCCUUCCUGGCUGAUGGCGAGGAAGAGGAGGAGGAGGAAGGGUCUCUGGCUUUUAUGGCAGACCCGGAUGGCAUGUCCCAGGGUUAUGUUCACCAUACUAUCUCGCCAGACCAGAUCCAGUUUAUCAUCAACCCAGGGUCCACCCCUAUGCCAAGGAACAUAGAGGGAGCCACACUCACCCUGCAUUCAGAAUGUCCAGAGACCAAGCAGAGAGAGGUUAAGAGGUACCAGUGCAUGUUUGAGGGCUGCACGCGCACGUACAGCACUGCGGGCAACCUGCGCACACACCAGAAGACGCAUCGUGGCGAGUACACCUUCGUGUGCAACCAGCAGGGAUGUGGCAAGGCUUUCCUCACCUCCUACAGCCUGAAGAUCCACGUGCGUGUGCACACCAAGGAGAAGCCUUUCGAAUGUGACGUGCAGGGCUGCGAGAAGGCCUUCAACACCCUGUACAGACUGAAAGCACACCAGAGACUGCACACAGGAAAGACGUUCAACUGUGAAUCAGAAGGAUGCACAAAGUACUUUACAACCCUCAGCGACCUGAGGAAGCACAUCCGAACCCAUACUGGGGAAAAGCCAUUCCGGUGCGAUCAUGAUGGCUGCGGAAAAGCUUUUGCUGCGAGCCACCACCUAAAGACUCACGUCCGGACACACACAGGGGAAAAACCCUUCCUGUGCCCCAGUGAUGGCUGCGAGAAGACUUUCAGCUCGCAGUACAGCCUCAAGAGUCACAUUCGGGGCCACGAUAAGGGCGGUCCUUUGAGCGUAGCCCUCGGGAACUCGCUUUCUGAUGAUGCAAAUCAUUCGCUGUGCCUCAGUGAUUUAAGCCUCAUCUCCACAGACUCAGAGCUGAGGGAAAACAAUCAAAACUGUCAAGGCCUGGAUUUGAACAGUGUUACUCCUGUAAGGAUAUUUGAGCUUAUGUUUCAGAGCCCAGAAAACAGUAUUAGUCAGGAAGAGAACCAUUCCCAAGAUGGCCUGGUGGAGGCAUUCAGCUCAGAAGACCCACCUGCAGCCCCAGCCCCUACAGCUGCAUCCGACACAAGCGCCCUGCUGUCCUAUCCUCUGCCUUUUUCUUCCUCAUCUUCCACGUCUGCUUUAGACGCCACCUCGCAGGCCUCCCUGUCCUCUUCACAAACUGUAACAGGCACCCCAGCUUGUGCUCCAGCAACACCCUUCAUAUCUACACCCAGCUCGCUGGCACCGGUGCUGCCGCCGACCGACGGAGCAGCCCCCCAGCACUACCUGCCACUCUCGUCCAAGGUCCCGCAGCAGGAGAGCUCUGGCUCAGCCCAGGCCAGCGCACUCGCAGGCCCGGCAGCCCCGGCACCCAUGCUCACUAAUUCCACUCCAGUGGCAGCUCCUACGGAGGCUCUGCCUGCUGCUGCGCACUCUGUGCCUUUAACUGCAAACCCAGUCUUGGCACCCAGUCCCACUAUCACCAUUGCCCCUACGCAGAGCAUUCUGCAGCCCAGCAUCGUCAUGUCCGACCAGAACCUUCAGUGGAUCCUGAACAGUGCCACAAACGCCCAGCAGAGCACUGAGCAAGUGCAACACCAAGGGACAAAGGUAGAAAAGGUCUUCUUCACCACGGCUAUACCAGUUGGGGGAAAUGCAGGUAAGUGUAAGCCUUCUGUGUGCUGUCCCCAGCCCUCCUGCAUCUCCUGCUCAAUGACCAGAUUUCACAAAAGCGUGGAAAUGGGUGUGUUGUGCGUCACAGGGAGCUCCGUGCAACAGAUCGGCCUCAGCCUGCCGGUCAUCAUCAUCAAGCAGGAGGAGUCGUGUCAGUGCCAGUGCUCCUGCAGAGACUCCGCCAAAGACAAAAACUUCAGCAGGACCAGCACACCCCCUGCCCAACAGUCACCACCGCCCCCUCCUCCUCCACCUCCUCCGCCGCCUCCUUCUCCUCCCCCCCUCCCUCUUCCACCUUCCUCCGCUAGCUCCCGGCCUCCAACGUGCUGCUCUAGCCAGCUGCCCUUGUCACCCUGCGGUAGAGGUGAGGCGGCACAUCAGGGGGAGGUUCAGCCUGGAGGCUCUGUUGUGACGCCGCCAAGCUUUCCGUCGGAUGUGGCCAGCGCCGGGACCCCGGACACCCCUGGCAGCGCCCUUGUCAACAUGGAUAUGUCUGACUUCCUGUCCCUGCAGAGCCCCGAGACACCUAGCCACAUGAGCACCAUGGAGGCCCUGCUCCUAGUUGCCGACGACUUUUCCAUGGGUGGGGUGGGAGGCGCUGCCAACCCUGGCGCUGGCUUUGCCAAGUGAACGGCCUUGGCUGCGCCGAGCUCUUUGGUUUUAGGGGCAUGUUUCCGUCGCCUUGUGUCGCAGUUACGCCCUCAUGCCAACCUCUGCUCGAAUGAUGCCCAUUAUGUAGGAAACCAAGGCUUUUACAGUGCAGUGCAUUCUGAUUUAUCACCUGCUGAACACUUUAAAAGCCUUGAACUACUUUGUGUGCUUUCACAGCUCUCACUCCCAGCACAAAGCUGGACUGGUACUGGAGCUUUACCUCUGUAUUGUGUGCUGCAAAGGUAACACUAAACAUUGGCAAUGUAGUACUUUUAUUCUCUGUUCUUGCAAAUAUGGUAGCUUUAAAUUUCUGCACAAAAAUCAAGAUAUUGAAUAUGUUUUUUUUUUUUUUUUUCCUGUUUUUUCCUUUUCCUCACUGUAGCUUAACAAGGCAGUGGGUGAAAAAGCUGCAAUUCAGAGCAAGUCAGUUAACACUGAAGUGAACUAGAUAAAUCUGUCAAUGUAGCUUUGAAUGGCACUGUAGUUGUGACCAGAAUAAGAUGUCUUGCAGCACUGAGUAAUAUAAAGUCUUCACUGUAUUCUUUCAAAGUGAUUACAUAAAAAGAGCUAGAGUGUGAAUAAACAGAAUGUACUGCAUGUGAGUCAGAUUCCAUCACUAAGCAGCGUCUUAACCAUCAAAGGUUGCAUGGUCAUCUCAGGAGAGGAACAUCUCGCGUUCCCUCACAGUUCCAAUAAGGUCACCGAAUGAAGCUUCAGCAGUUUCGCUAGGAAGAAGACGAGUAUAAAUCCAGAAAAUUUUCCUAAAGCGCUGACUGCCACGUGUCUCAAGCUAACAGACAACUAGGAAGGUUUAUGCAAACAAAGGGAACACGAGCUUCUUCGAGCAAAUCCACAUCAUGGUAGGCAACCCCAAGGAGCAGCUGCUUAUCCGCAGAGGAUGGUUUUCGUCCUGCACGUGUCGUGCGCUGUUCACAAUAACCUGCUCAGGGAUGGAGCCGAGAGACCGACGCAGCUGGCAUUUGUGAAAAUGGACUGAAAAUGGACUGAAGCUGGACUCUGUCAUGAACCGUUGUUAAUCUGUGAAGUCUAAAAGCCCUUCAUAGCAGAAGCCCUUUGUCCAUCUCUGCUGUCUUUCCCCUCCGCUUGUCCUGCAAGCGGGUCACACGGACAUAGCGAUGAGCACUAAGUCAAGUCCUUGUUUGUAUAACACUGCUGUACACAGAUGUAGGGGUGAGAGGAGAAAAUAAUCACAAUGUAUAUACAUUUGAUAAUAUAGACUGCUUCCUCUAGAUUGUUAUUGAAUUUGUAUUUUUGUAUAGAACUUCACAUAUUUACACUUUGGGUUUGGAGACAGAAGGUGUUGACUUUGUUGUCCCUUUAAAGUUGCUUCUCCCUGAACUUGAUGAGGCAGGGCAGAAAUGGCGUAGCGGCCAAAGCCUUCACCUCGGCCCUGGAGCACCAAGCUUUGAAUGCCGUCGCGGCCGCCGCCCCCGCUGCAGCUGAAAUGACCUUGAGAGGAGGUACUAAGAAUGAAUGCAGUGAAUAUGACUCAGCAUUUAAAAGGAGCAAACAAUUGUCAGCAGCUCAGUAGACAAACAUUGCAAGUCACUUUGGAGGAAAUCUGCCGCAUCGGAGCUUUGGUUUGCGUGUCAAAACUAUUAAUGAAAUGGAAUAAUGGUUUUCCGGCAGCUCGGUUUUCAGUCCUUGUUGGCAUGGCAGCCACAGUGCGCAAAAGGGGGGUGUAGAGCAAUCCAGACCCCGGACCAACAUAGACACGGUCAUCGGAGGAAACGUGGUUUGGCCGCAAUUUCCGGCAGUUGAAGCGGAAGCACUGACUUUGCACUCUGUGUCCUACCUUUGGUUUUGCAUGACAUCACGGCAAAGUUUUUCAUUGCUCUUUUAAUUUGGUUCACGAUUCAGUAUUUCUGUGGUACUCUAAGCACUUUAGAUUUGUUUUGGCAGCAUAGGAGAGAUUCUUCAGGUCUGGAUAGAUAGCACUGCUCUUCAUUUAACCUGUUUUAUGGUAGCCUUGAACUCAGGAGGAGCGAAACCUCAUUUGACACAUUUCCUCUUUAUUUCAACUGUACUGAUUAUUAGCUUCACAAAGCAAUCGAGAUACUAGUCAACAUAUAGCAAUUGCAUGACCCUCACAUGUUUAUUUGGGGCAUUAGCCUUGAAGAGCUGUCUGUCUACCUUCAGGUGCACAACCCAUGAGCUAUGCAAUGUUCUGUAGACAUGUAAUGUUCCAGACAAAGCGACUGAGCAGUGUGUGAGGGAGCACACACUGCACUGAGUAGUCACCAUCGAGGUGCUUGCUACUAUGGAAGCUGGAUGCUAGUGGAGGCUAGACAGAGAACCCAGGUUUCUGAGCUUGCGGUACGUCCUGUUUGCGGUCACUUAUGAUGUACAUGAACUCUUACGUGUGAAAUACUUAACAGGUUACAAUACAUUUGACGUCUUCAGAGUCACUUCUAAGUUCUUUAAGGUUUUCACAGCCGCCGGCAUCGACUCGUCAGAUUAAGACUUUUUCCUGAAAAAAAGAUCACAAAUGUGUUGUGAAAAAUUCUGUUCUAAGAAUUACAUUGGUCACCGAAAUGUCAGAAUAUAGGCAUAAAAUUAACUUUUGGUUUGUGCCAUUUCAGUUACGACCAUCUCCAACCUGCCACUUUAAGUCACGGAGUUGGACGCUCUGCUUGAUCUGCCGUAACGUCCCGUAAAUUCAGUGAGUCGAUGAGCCAUUUAAAACACUUUGUCUUACAUAUUACUGCGCAAUUGGUGUAAUAAGGACAAGACAUGUAGUCAUAGACAACCAACCACUCUGGCAGUGAGUUUGAGGGAGUAGCUUCUAGUUUGUGGCCUGUCGCUUCAGUAGUGGAGGUGGGACAUUCGGCACGAGGAGCGUGCGCAAGCCUGCCGCUUCGGAGUCUGCUGUUCACUAGAGCAUUAGUGCAUUUUAGCUCUUUGACAAAGUGGAAAAAGGAAAAACGAGGUGUGUUGUGGCUGAGUCCUGUGGUUCCCUGUGUGGAACAGCUCCUGGUUUGGGCACAGGAUUGAAAUGCGUUUGGUGUACCACAUUUGUCCAUGUAUAUGUCCUCCUGGGUAAACGGAUGGGAAAAUAAAAAUGCUUCCAAAGGAAGAGCGUCUCCAGAACCCAAAGAGUGAGGAAAUUUAACAUGUAAAGGAUUUGUAUUUUAAAGGAUGUAUAAUGUGAGAAUUGCUUAUAUGCUUGUUUUUGUAUUAAGUAUUGUAUUAUGAUUAAGUAAAUAACAUUUUUGGAAUUGAAAGCAAUAUAAUACUAAUUAAAUCCU
This is an RNA transcript of Scleropages formosus (Asian bonytongue), 6020 nucleotides long. It is a transcript of the gene named metal-regulatory transcription factor 1, with no coding region annotated. The transcript has 11 exons. NCBI's taxonomy places the organism in Eukaryota, Metazoa, Chordata, Actinopteri, Osteoglossiformes, Osteoglossidae. The record is from RefSeq and is a predicted model, not a curated record.